This 448-nucleotide ribosomal RNA is filed under the name uncultured bacterium. RNAcentral describes it as "bacterial SSU rRNA". It matches the Rfam family "Bacterial small subunit ribosomal RNA", at positions 354 to 796 of the family's 1533-position model. The record is from RNAcentral.
GUCGGGAAUUUUGGGCAAUGGGCGAAAGCCUGACCCAGCAACGCCGCGUGAAGGAUGAAAUCCCUCGGGAUGUAAACUUCGCAAGAACGGGAAGAAUAAGUGAGGGUUAAUAUCUCUCGCGAUGACGGUACCGUUUGUAAGCUCCGGCUAACUCCGUGCCAGCAGCCGCGGUAAUACGGGGGGAGCAAGCGUUGUUCGGAUUUACUGGGCGUAAAGGGCGCGUAGGCGGCCACCGCAAGUCGAUUGUGAAAUCUCCGGGCUUAACCCGGAAAGGUCAACCGAUACUGCGGGGCUAGAGUGCAGAAGGGGCAACUGGAAUUCUUGGUGUAGCGGUGAAAUGCGUAGAUAUCAAGAGGAACACCUGCGGCGAAGGCGGGUUGCUGGGCUGACACUGACGCUGAAGUGCGAAAGCUAGGGGAGCGAACGGGAUUAGAAACCCCGGUAGUCC